GAGAGUUUUAACCCCGCCCCCUUUCGGGAGCUCGAGAUCUGAGUUUUGACCCCGCCCCCUUUCGGGGGAUCCGGAGGCGCUGCCCAGUGACCUCCACCACCCUGCCUAUCCUUGUGGAUCUCCUUGGUGCGAGCUUGAAUUUUAGGAAAUAAGUAGGUGUGUGCGCGUGCCCUUGAGUUUUAGGAACUAAGUAGGGGCGUGUGUGUGUAUUUGUGUUUUUAAUUUGGGGAGAAAGAACUGGGGGAUGAAGGUCGACAUGGCGUUCCAGAUUAAGCAUGCCGUUCAAGUAGACAGCUACUGGCACCUUAAAUUCAUAAAAGAGCAUUUAGCACCAAACUGUAAAGUGAUGUCCUCUAGAAUAAAGAACAGUACUUACCAAGAAUAGUUAGCUUGUAACCUUACGUCGACAUAGUUGUUCUUAUUUGAAUGCAGAUUUUAAAGUUUUAUCACGCAGUUGGAAACCACAGCUACUAUGAGCAUGGAUUUUUUCAUACUUAUCUCUUUCAUUUCCGUGACCACUUGGUCCAAAGGCAUCAGGAUUGUAUCCAUUUUACAAAUGAUAAAACUGAAGCUCAAAAAGGUUAAGUAACUUGAUCUAAGUCCCCACAGCUAGUAAGUGUCAAAACCCCAUCCGAAUAACUUCAAAACCUGUAGGUAUAGUCAUCAAAUGUGUCUUGAAUGGAAUUACCUACAGUGAGAGUUAGUGCAUUAGGUAACAAGCGCAGAGAGGAAUGACUGCCUCUGCUGAUGGUAACCUUGAAUUUUACAAAUGACACUGGAGCCUUUCUGAGACUAGUGUUGCAUGGGUCCUCAAUAAAAUCACACUGUUGUUACUCACUUCCUUUGGGUUUAUAACCCUGGUGAUAAAGUAAUUGAGAAUAGUGGAGUAAACCCUCGACUUGAAUUCAGGAAAAUUGUUUUCAAAUCCAGUUUCAAUAAAUCUCACAUCAGGCACUCUAUUUGAUGAAUGAAUGAACAAAACCUAACUAUAAGACACUUGACUUCAGGGAGUCUCAAUUCCUUCAUCUGUAAAAAGAUCUAAUUCCUAACUUUUGGUAAUGUUGGGGAGAGUGAAUGAAAUAAUGUGAGAGUGCUUCGUAAAUUGCAAAAGUGUUAUAAAGAAGUUACUGGUAAGAGCUACGAGUGUCUCGCUGCACUCUAGCAUGGGCGACAGUGCGAGGCCCUGUCUCAGAAAAAAAAAAAGUUACUUAUAAUGACAUUUUCAGACAUGAGAAAUGGCAUAAAAUUAAAAACAGAUUCAAGAGAAUAGUAUGUUGAGAUUGUAGAGACAGAUGUAGCUAAUGGAAAAAAGCUAAAUAAGUCUCUCUACAGAUGUUUAUUGAGUACUUAUUGCAUAUACUAUGCUUGCCAAAAAAUGUAAAAGUGUACAUUUAGUUACAAUGAAGCAGCACAAGUUAUUAUUAGUGAUUAUUGUUAUAAUUAAGUAUUGAUCACACUUAGGGGCUGCAGUCUAUUUCCUUCCAAGAGCCUGGAAGUUGGGUUGCCCUCAGAAAUAAAUAAAAAUCUACAUAGAGGAAAUUAGCUAAGAGUGAUAUUAAGUAUAUUUAACAACAAGUAGUGCUCAAGCAUAGAUGAAGCAGAAUUAGAAAUGCAGCUAGGAUCCUGGAGGUAUACGUCUGUGCUAGGUGUUAACCCUUCAGUUGCUGGUUUGUGAAUAGGAGGUCCCAAGGGAUCCCAGGGGAAGGGAGUGGUCAGGAGGUUUGGGACAGCAGCUAUUUACCAGGUAGUACUAGAGUAUUUCAGUAUUUUAAUAGUCAAUGUUAUAACUGAUAACAGUCAAUUGAUACAUAUAAGCCUAAUAUUAGUCCUUGCUAUAGUCUUUAUUAUCAAUAGCCUCCGCCCUUCCCUUUCUAAAGCCGUUGCUAUCUGGCCUGUCCCUAGGAGAUUAGGGUGAAAGACUUCUCACCCUAAUGUCGUCAAGCUUGGCCUUGUUUUGACCAAUGAAAUAUGAGUAGAAAUGGCAUGAACCGGCCGGGCACGGUGGCUCACACCUGUAAUCCCAGCACUUUGGGAGGCCGAGGUGGGUGGAUGACGAGGUCAGGAGUUCGAGACCAGCCUGAUCAACAUGGUAAAACCCCGUCUCUACUGAAAAUACAAAAAUUAGCCGGGCAUGGUGGCACACGCCUGUAAUCCCAGCUACUCAGGAGGCUGAGGCAGGAGAAUCACUUGAACCUGGGAGGCAGAGGUUGCAAUGAGCCGAGAUCGCACCAUUGCACUCUAGCCUAGGUGACAGAGCGAGACUCUGUCUCAAAAAAUAGAAAAGCGGCACUAAAAGAUAUAGUUCAUGUGCUGCUGGAGUUCAAAAAGGGAAAGCUUACUUCCACUUAGUAUGAAAUAGUGGGAGGAGUUCAGGAAAGAUUUGCAAGGAUGUGACAUUUGAACUGGGUCUUGAAAAAUGAGUAAAAUUAGGGAAGACAUGUAGGCAGCCACUAAAGCAAAUAGAAGAAGCGAGGGAUCAGUUGAGGAAACACAGAGUAAGAGGGAAUGGAAGAAGAAUCAUGGAAAGAUACAUUAUUAUGGUUAAAUUAAGGCUCUUGGGCUUUAUUUUCUGAUACGGGAAGUGAGUGGUAGAAGUUUUUUGUUUUGCUUUUAAACAGGUUUAACCAUUUUUUUUUUUUUUUUUUUUUAGGAGAUGGAGUUUUGCUCUUGUUGCCGGGGCUGCAGUGCAAUGGUGCAAUCUCGGUUCACUGCGACCUCCGCCUCUCGGGUUCAAGCGAUUCUCCUUUCUCAGCCUACCGAGUAGCUGGGAUUACAGGCGCGUGCCACCAGGCCCGGCUAAUUUUUGUGUUUUUAGUAGAGACGGGGUUUCAUUAUGUUGAUCAGGCUGGUCUGGAACUCCUGACCUCAGGUGAUCCACCUGCCUUGGCCUCCCAAAGUGCUGGGAUUACAGACGUGAGCCACCGCCCCUGGCCUAAAUUUAACCAUCUUUAAGUAUACAUUUCAGUGACAUUAAGCCUGUUCACGUUGUGCAUCCAUCAGCAGAAUUUGUCAUUAUCCCAUACUGAAAUUCUGUAUACGUUAAACGCUUACGCCCUAUUCUCUUUUCCCCAGCCUCUGGUAACCACCAUUCUACUUUCACCUUUUGGCCACUGUGAAUGAUGCUUCUGUGGACAUUAGUAUACAAAUAUCUGUUGGAGUCCCUGCUUUCAAUUAUUGGGGGUAUAUACCCAGAAGUGAAAUUGCUGGAUUAUAUGGCAAUUCUUAUGUUUAAUUUUUUUUUUUUUUUGAGGAGCCACCAUACUGUUUUCCAUAGCAUCAUACCAUUUUACAUUCCCAAUGGUAGAAGGUUUUACAGAAGAUAGUGACAUGAUCAAAACUAUGAUUAAAAGCAAUCUGGAAAAGAGAGUAAGAUGGAGUAGAGUGGCAGAAUGACCAUGUGGAGACUUCCACAAUGGUUUAGGCAAGAUAUAAUGAGGGCGAGGGCCUGAACACAUCAUCAGCAAUGAGAAUGGAGGAAAGAGGAUACAAAUGCUGAGGUGAUAUUGCCAAGGAAAGAUUGUAAGGACUUGACCAUUGACUGGCGAUUGAGGGGUUAGGGAACAAGAAAAUUAAGGGUUUUUUUUGUUUUUGUUUUUGAGACGGAGUCUCAUUCUGUCACCCAGGCUGGAGUGCAGUGGCGCAAUCUCAGCUCACUGCAAACUCCGCCUCCCGGGUUCACGCCAUUCUCCUGCCGCAGCCUCCCGAGUAUGUGGGACUACAGGCACCAGCGACCAUGCUCGGCUAAUUUUUUUGUAUUUUUUUAGUAGAAACGGUGGGUUUCACCGUGUUAGCCAGGAAGGUCUCGAUCUCCUGACCUCAUGAUCCACCCACCUCAGCCUCCCAAAGUGCUGGGAUUACAGGCGUGAGCCACUGUGCCCGGCCAAAUUAAGGUGUUUAAUAUGACUCCCAUGUGUCACACCUGGGAGGAUGGUAGUCUUCAGAUGAAGAGUCAGGGUAUGGAGAAGUCAUGAGUUCAAGUUUGGAUAUAUAGAGUUCGAAUUACAAGUGGCACAUUGUAAGCUGUGGGGUGGACAUUUGUUGUCUUGCCUGCUGAAUACCCCUUGCCCUUUCAACUGGUAAUGGCACUCUACUUUUUUUCUUUUGAGACAGAGUUUCGCUCUUGUCACCCAGGCUGGAGUGUAGUGGUGUGAUCUCAGCUCACUGCAACCUCUGCCUCCCAGGUUCGAGCUAUUCUCCUGCCUUAGCCUCCCAAGUAGCUGGGAUUACAGGUGCCCACCACCACACCCAGCUAAUUUUUUGUAUUUUUAGUAAAGACGGGGUUUCACCAUGUUGGCCAAGCUGGUCUUGAACUCCUGACCUCAGGUGAUCUGCCCCCCUGCCUCAGCCUCCCGUAGUGCUGAGAUUAUAGGCGUAAGCCACUGCGUCCAGCCUACUUUUUUUUUUUUUCUUUAAAGGUUGUAGAAUUUAUCCUUCUUCAUCUAUGUAUUGGCUAGGCUGGGAGGGUGUGUGGCCAUGAGAAUGUGCUUCUCAGAUCUCUGACUGAGGAAAUUGUAAUUUACCAGCAGUCCAGCUGCUGAGUUCUGAAAUCCAUCCUGAGCUUUGAAAUCCAUUGCCCUUUACUCCGAGGUCUUACUUCCCAUACGCUGCUCAUAGCCAAUAACUGAGCCCAACGGGGAUUUUAGGACAGGACUGUUCCUGGGAUAAGUGAUACUCUUCCGAUGGGUGACUUUGACUCAAGGACUCCUCAAUGGCCUUGCCAAACUUUCCUUAGAACUUCAUUGCAGUCUGAGACACUUCCACCUUGAACACCUUCCCUCUGUCCUUCACUCAGGGUCAGGCCUGCGUCACUGUGCGAUGGCUCUCUCAGUCUUCCCCUUCCAUUUCCUCUC
This 4850-nucleotide long non-coding RNA is filed under the name Homo sapiens (human). RNAcentral describes it as "HSALNT0291663". Lineage: Eukaryota; Metazoa; Chordata; Mammalia; Primates; Hominidae. The record is from RNAcentral.